GGAGAAGGAAAUGGCAACCCACUCCAGUGUUCUUGCUUGGAGAAUCCCAGGAACGGGGGAGCCUGGUGGGCUGCUUUCUAUGGGAUCGCACAGAGUCGGACACUGCUGAAGCGACCUAGCAGCAGCCAGUUCCAGCAAACAGUCGUGAAUUCAGUAAGGUGCCUUGUCUAUGUUUAUUUCUAUGGGUUCUUCAUAUAAAUUCUUAAAAAAAUAAAAAAGGUAUAAUAGUUCUCUGCCUGCAAAACACUUCAUUGGUUUUACAGUGUGACUUGAGUCUUGUGUUUUCUCUCCCAAUUGCAUGCCUCAGCGAAUAAUCCUUACUUUGGCUUCCAUGUGCAUUUAAUCUUAAUCCUCUCAGUCAUUUAGCCUUGUUGCCACUCUCCUGUCUCUUGCAGUUGAUCCCUAAAAGUUUAAAAGCCAAAAUGUCACAUUUUUCUUAAAAUGAGGAAAUUCUAGAACCUAAAAAAUAGCAUUUAAUAAUCUAGUGCUUAUGUCUUCACCUAAAUGUUUACUUCUCAAUUGCACUUUUGGUAUAAGAAUAAAAUGUAUAGACAUUUUGAUACCAUGCAUACGUCGGUUACUAAAAUUGCCAACAAAGUGUGGUUUUUAUUAGUUUUUUUUUAUUUCAAAGAAAAUGCUAAGCAAUAUAGAUCAAUAAACUUCUCUUUCAAAUAUAUGGUUUGCAAAAUAAAUAACAUUUAAAAUAAAUCCUGAUCAGACUUUUUUGUAAAUUCAUUGUCAGAUCUUUUAUGGUCGAUCACAUACUGAAAGCAGCUCUCAGAUUUGCUGCUUCUAGAGCAUCAUGUUCCAAGCUGUGUUCCUUGAAACACUAUUGUCUUGAAAGAAGUCAAUAAGUAUUUCUUUUGGAAAGAAAUUUUCAUGGUCCAGUAUAUUUAGGAAAUGUUCAGUUGUUAUUAGUUCACAGGGUUUUUUGACCAUGAAGCUUCCAGAGCCUUUAAUUUGCUGGUGUACCCAGCCCUGUAACUCUAAAAAAGACCAUAGUUUGCACUGUGAAUUAAGUGUUUUUAGAGGCAUACUACAAACAGGGCACUAGUAUUAGCAGGAGUAAUUUUUAGGAAAGAUUCUUCUGGAAUAUAAACUAUUUUUUAUUCAUAUGGUAUGGUGUGGUUUUAUUUAUACCUUUUUUUUUUAACUUUUUAUCCAACCCUAGAUUAAAAAUUAAUAUAAAAUACUAAGGGAAUUAUUACUCAAAAUUUUACCCUUCUCAGAAAUGUGUUCUCAACCUACUCAAUAUUAAUGAACAGAAGAUAGAAAUAAGAGAUCUUACCACUAGGUGGUGAUAAAAUCACCACUCAGAAAGUGCAGCAUUCCAAUGGUAUCUAAGGUAUUGAGCCUGACAUGCUAGAAUUUGUAUUGUCUAGAGCUGUGGUCCUUAAACUUUGGUGUCUACAAGAGUCACCUCAGGUGUUUGUUUAGAAUGCAGGUACACUGAUUCUGUUAGGUUUGGGUUGGGUUUUUUGACAAGGCCUCUGAGUGACUCUGCAUCAUUGGCAUUGACUUUGUGGUAUACUGACCUAAAGAGAGUCCAUAUUUGGACCUUAGGUUGGACUGUUGUAAAAGUAAGACACUGAGAAGUUGCCAAGUUGUUUACCUCGAGCAUUUUUUAGAAUUAAGCAUCUGCUUUCCCUCAAUUUAUUAUCAAUAAAUAUGAAUUAGCAUAAGAAAUUGAAAACCACAAGCCAUCUCACAAAUAGCAAAAUGUCAGGCCAGCUUUUUCCUAUUGGCAGAUGUUUUUCAAUGUUUCUGAAGGAUGGUAAUUAUUUGCUUUAUGUCAUUCAAAGCUUCUACCUAAUUUUAUUUUCUAUUUACAUUUAUUUUGAAGUGAAUUAUGUUAAUAAGCGAAUCAGAUUUUGGCUCUGAAGAAGUUCCUAAAUCUGUGUCCUUCUUUUUAAAUGGCAAAGAGCUUGAAGGUGAUAUCAUCAGUAUAUAAAAAAUUGAAGUAGAAUAAUCACAAGGGUACAGAAAUCAUGUCUACAUAUAAACAGUAACUCAAGAACAGUGGAUCCUAUGAACUGAAGGUAUGGUAUUGCUAGGGGGUCAAACAGAAACAUUUAGUUAAAAUAUGAAAUUGCAGUUCAUUCAUUACAAUGACCAUGCUGUAUUUAGUUAGAAUUGUCCUCAGGAGAAUAUGCAGGUCCCACUACACUGUGAGAAAGUUAACAGGUCCUGUGAGAAUCCACGUGAGUGGUUAUCACAGGAAAAGAAAGUCCAGUGACCAUUGUAUAUGAGUUGUAGCCACUAUCUAAACGUCCAGGUCCACAUGAGCUAGCUGACCUGCAAGCUGACCAAGACUGCAGCUUCUGUGGCACCUAGAAACUGCCUUUCCGACCAUACUGCUGCAGAAGUGGUGCGAGGAAGGCCUUAGCAGACUGUUUAAGGAAAGUCAUUGGUGUUUGAGAUGCAAAAGUCAGGAAUGUGUGAAAAGGCAAGUACUGUUUUUCACAAGUAAUUGGGAAACUGCUGGGUACAGUAGGGUAACCACAGUGCUUACCCACAGAUAUUCCUGUUAAUCUACACUCUGAACUUGCCUGCCUCUCUUUCCAUUUCUGAUCUUGUAGGUAAGUGGUGUUACUAGUAAUUUUCUUGUUCAGAUAAUACCGUUUUCCAGUGUUAGUAAUUUAUAGGUCACGGCAUUUAUUAGCACAGAGUUCUUAGGGAUUUUGUUUCUUUUAUUUUUGUGGGGUUUUUUUUAAUGCUAAAAUAAGAGAUUUAAAGUCACCUAAAUAGAGUUAUCUACUACUUUACAGGAAGAUCUGAUAUAUUAAAAUACAUAAUGUUCCUUUCAUCAUCGACAAACUCUGUUAUUUUGGUUUGGGGCCCCAGUUAAGCACAAAAAAACUUUCUUCUUCUUCCGCAUUAGUACAUUAGUAAUUUAAGAACCGUAACUGUCCAUUGACUUUGGGGGAAGGUAGAGAAGGGAUCACCUUACUUGGAGAAUCCCAGGGACAGGGGAGCCUGGUGGGCUGCCGUCUGUGGGGUCGCACGGAGUCGGACAUGAUUGAAGUGACGCAGCAGCGGCAGCAGCAGCAGAGAAGGGAUCACAAUUUGUUACUUGUAGGACUGACUUUAGGAAGAACCUGUAGUAGUGGAGGAGAGCACUGGGACUGACUGACUGACCAGCUUUGUCCGUAUCAAAAUUGGACCAACAAUGGCAAAGAAAAAGUAUACUUGAAGAGAGUACCCAUCUUUUCUUUACCAUUGCAAACUCUUGUGAGGGUUCAUCUCCUAUUAGUACCAUAUUGGCUUAAUCCUUUCAUCAGAACUCCAGCAGGGUUCACUUUCUACCACUUAAACCCCAAAUCUGGAAACUGUAGACACUGUAAUAUGGUCCCAUCUUUUACCCAGCCCAGUCUUACGUUACUGCAGUGACUCAAAGUAAGUAAUAAUAAAUAGAAUGGAAUUAGAUCUUCUUACAACAUCCUGCAAGAUUAGCAGUGUGCCUGAAAUAAUACCCAGUUUCUGUUUAAUAGCUUUGAGUUACUUGUAAUAUAGCAAUGUAUCAUGUUUUCUGAGUCUUGUUAAUAUCUUUGUCUUUAGUUCUCCCAAGAGUGUAUUUCAUGUGUGAUAUCAACAUGGCCUUUUGAGGCCUGUAUCCUCAUCUAGAACAUAAAAUAAUAAAGGCUGUGUAAACAAAUACUUGCAACCCCCUUCUCCCAACUUUCUGCAAGAAUACCCUUGAAAACAUUUAAGAAAAAAAAAUUGGUAUCAUUCAUAGAAACUUGAAUAGAUAAGAAUAAGUAGAUACAUUGGUAAGAAUAGUAGAUACUAGGAGAAAUGUUUACUAUAAAGCAGUAAAGAUGUGCAUUUUAUUUAAUAGCCGACUCAAAUCCCACAUUGAAACAACUUGUCACGUAAAACAAGAUGAUACCUUAGCUUCCCACCUUCUAACACUCCUUAUUAACUUGUGUAUAAGAAGGCUAUACUAAUAAUUUAAGAUAGCUAUUGAGAGUCCCAUCAGAAAAGGCUCUCAUUCUGCAUUUCUUAACUAGUGGCCCUGAAGCCGCACCGUCUUGGAGCUUUUCCUUAACCAAGAGAACCACAGCAGACAUUCACCGUGGGGUGGAGAGAGUUGUGGAAGAGAUCCCACCUUUGACCGGAAGAGCAGUGCUGAAUGACAAAGGCAGCGCAAGCCGCCCAGAAAGACCUUCCGCCAUCAGCAGAUUUAGAACACUUAGAGCAGGAUUGUUUUAAAUACUCAUCCUCUAUCCUAAGAACUUUGGUCUUAUUGCAUGAAAAUCCCUUAGCCUUUUCCACCCUAAGCUUAGAUCUACAGACAUCCUUGCGUUUCCUGGAGAAAUGGAAUGGGCCUGAUAUUUCAGACAAUGUGCUGGAUAUUAAUUAGCAUUUUAGUGAACUCUGAAAGAGCUUAAAGCAGUCCCUGUGGUCUGCCAAUUCUGAAAUCAGCCUGGCUAAAUGUGUCCUCAUUGAGAUAUGAGCAAGAGAGUUACGCUACUGGCACCUGACAAAAGAAGGCCAAGAAAGGGUUGCAGUUGUCUUCUUUUGGCAGAGGAAGGGAGGAUUGGGUAAAUUUCUUUAGUCUUCGUGAAGAAACAUUAAAACAUUCUCUCAUUAAAACAUUUUUUACUUUGACAUUUAAUGUAAGUUGAAUCUUUUUAAAAUCAGUUAAAUGCUCAGUAAUGCUAGUCAUCAAGGAAACAUUAAAACCACAGUAAGAUACCCCUCCACUGGUAAGAGCAGCAAAAAUUAAGGUAUCAGCAAUACCAGAUGCUGGUAUGAGUGUGGAGCAACAGGAUCUCUCAUAACCUGCUGAUGGGAGUGUAAAUUGGUUCAACCACUUAAGAAAUAUUUGACAAAUACCUGUUAAUGUUAAAACAUACAUCUACCCUCAACUCACCAGUUCCACUGCUAACGUGUGUAUCCAGAAAAGAUAAGAAAAUAUAUGUACCGAAGACAUGAACUUUAUGGUAGCUCAAAGUAGAAGCAACCCCUGAUGUCCAUCAGCAGAAUGGAUACUGUGAAGUACUCUAUAGUGAGGAAAUGAGCUCACUUGUUUGCUACAUGUAUUAAUUUGGAUGAAUCUUAUAAACAUACUGGCCAAGGAACCAACAAAAGAAAAUGCCGUAUGAUUCCCACUUGUGAAAGGGUUCAGAAACAAAACUUAAGCAGAAUUCAUUGGAGAGGGGUCACAGAGGGAUAAAAGGGGGCUUAUGGUAUACUGGUGAUCUUGUCUGUCUGGAUCAGUGUGGUGAUAACUGAGAUAAGCCCUUUGAGUUGUGCUUUUUAUGUUUUAUGCAUGUUUGUAUUUGUCUUACACAUCAUUUAAAGUUUUGGUUUCUUAAUGUAUUAAAUAGUAUCAACAUGAGGCUAAUGAAACAGACACUCCUGCAGUGUAAGAGAACAGCAGUAGUCAGAGGCAUUUAGAAUAAAGGGUUUUCUGUAUCCAUCCAAUACAUUUAAAGCAGAAAGUAUUAGAAAAUACCUGCGUCAGCUCCUGCUCAGGUACAACAGGGCAUUAUGAUGACAAGAACACGAGAAGAGUGAGAAAGAAGGAAAAGAUAGGGAGAAGCUAAAUUAAAAGUUGUGUCAGAAAUAACGAAUAGUCACAGAUUAAAGAAAAUCUAACCCAUAAUGAAGAACAGUAACUAUCACACUGAUUGCAGAAUCUUAUGGGUUCUCAUGAACCAGCAAAGGGAAGAAAGAAGGGUUUCCCCCAACUUGUUAUCAACCAGAUUAAAGCUGUCUUCAUCAGUGUUCUAAACUGUGCUUAAUAAGCUCUCCUCUAAGGAAUUCUGCAACUUAAAUAAAUUACAAUAAAUCAAAAGCACCGACACAUGACUAUAUUGAGAGAAAAGGUGGAGAUACAAAAGGCUGAUACUGAAGAUUUAUCCUUUGAGUAAUAGAUGUUCCCAAAGAAGGCAAGAUGAAUUAAACAAAAAAAAUAGUUUAAUAGAAGAAACCUUGAUUUUUAAAAGGGCUCAAGUCUGAAGAUCUUCAUCUGCACAUUAGAUGCCAGCUGGAAUGGAACAGUGUCUACAGGGUUGUGUAGUUCAGGAUUUCUUUACUCCAGAUGUGAAGGUAACAGAAAAGGAUUCUCUGAUGUUCAUUGUACUGCUCAUUUGGAAAAAAGUACUAUAUAGGAAAAAAGUACUUGAAUAUAAUCAACACGUUGCCAGAAUGAAUCAAAAUUCAGAAUAAAAGAAUGAGGAAAGAUGAGUUGGUGAGUAUUGAAAUCAAUGCAACUGUUAGAGUAAUACAGAUAAUUAUUGUAAAUCUAAUAUUGAAAGCACAAUUUAUUAAAUAGUCUGAGCGAAGGCCAAGAAAGUAUGGAAAUUUCCCUUUUUUUGUGGGGGGUGGAGAAUGAAGUGAGAAAUUCUUUUGUAAAGAAAAAAUGUGUUUUUUACUUGGAAAAUUAAGUGUAAAUUUAACAGUGAAAUCUGUCAUGGUGGAUAACAAUAAAAUUAAUAAUAAUG
This is a long non-coding RNA of Bubalus bubalis (water buffalo), 6452 nucleotides long. RefSeq lists it as uncharacterized. The transcript has 2 exons. The record is from RefSeq and is a predicted model, not a curated record. NCBI's taxonomy places the organism in Eukaryota, Metazoa, Chordata, Mammalia, Artiodactyla, Bovidae.